Molecule: ribosomal RNA, 196 nt
Filed under: uncultured bacterium
Lineage: Bacteria
Description: partial 16S ribosomal RNA
Rfam family: Bacterial small subunit ribosomal RNA
Source: RNAcentral
CCUACGGGAGGCAGCAGUAGGGAAUCUUCCGCAAUGGACGAAAGUCUGACGGAGCAACGCCGCGUGAGUGAUGAAGGUUUUCGGAUCGUAAAACUCUGUUGUUAGGGAAGAACAAGUACCGUUCGAAUAGGGCGGCACCUUGACGGUACCUAACCAGAAAGCCACGGCUAACUACGUGCCAGCAGCCGCGGUAAUA